AUUUAGAGUUGUCAUUAUUUAACUUUUUGAUAUGACGUUUUUUUCAAUUUAAAUUUUUUGUCAAUUUUUUUUAUGUCACAUUUUGACAUAUUCUCAAUUUUUGACUUGUAAUCAUUUUACAAGUCCGCUGGGAGCUUAUCUCAUAAUAGUGACUGUUAUAAUUUAGAUUCGUCAUAAUUUAAAUGUUUUUGUUAUAAUGAAGUUUUGUCAGUUUUGAAUUUUUAAUGUCAGAAUUGACUUAGUAUCUUAUCAUUUUUACUCAGUCAUUUUUUUAUUUCAUAAUUCUGAGGGGAAAAAAAUGCAUUCGAUUUUUUUUUUUUUUAUAAUAAUAAAAUUUGACAAUGACUUUUAUUUAUUCUGUUUUACCAAAAGCAUGUUUUUUUUUUUUUUUUUUUUUAUGUGGCAGAAAUGGGCUUCCAUAUUAUAAGACCAGGAACAUGCACUAAGGAAGCAAACAGGGUCGUUUUGUUUUCUUCUCAGCUCAAAUAUAAAAUUCCCAUUUGCAGGAAAUAACAAAAGUCUUUAGCAAGACCUAAAGUUAAACUCCUAAAUGUGUUUACAGGCGGAACAGAGCGUUUACAGUUAAUGACGGUCUGUGCAUUCUGCAUAAAUCCGUGGCACUAGAGGCUGGUGUUGGUGUGCUUGUAAAUGUGAAACACAGGGCUCAUUAUCUGCAGUUUCACCGCCUGCAGCCGCUGCCACCCCACUACCACGAAAAAAGGCCUCUAACCAACUGUCAUUUCCCACAAUCCAACAGAUCAGAGGAGCUGUGCGCAAAAUAAAAGACAAAUUAACGAGCAAAACAAGACAACAGCAAAGCCCCUCUGUAAGGCUGAAGAGCAGCAGUGCAGUGAGUGUCUCUGUCUGCUGGAAAUGCAGUGCCAACUAUGCAACGUGUGCUUCUGUGCAAACCACUGGCAGAUGUGCAUCGUUACGACUCGCGUGUACAGAGAGAGUUUAAUCCACAGAAUAAAGCUUCAUUAAAAAUCAAAAACAAAUGCUAUUAUGUCUGCAGCCAGUUUCUGUAUAAAAUGUAUGUAAAGGUUUUUUUAAAUAAAUUAUAUUUUUAAUCAACG
Long non-coding RNA from Cyprinus carpio carpio, 1076 nucleotides. The record is from Ensembl. Lineage: Eukaryota; Metazoa; Chordata; Actinopteri; Cypriniformes; Cyprinidae.